Molecule: transfer RNA, 72 nt
Filed under: Patescibacteria group bacterium
Lineage: Bacteria
Description: tRNA-Arg
Rfam family: tRNA
About the family: Transfer RNA (tRNA) molecules are approximately 80 nucleotides in length.
Source: RNAcentral
GCCCCCGUAGUUCAAUGGAAAGAAUAGGGGACUUCUAAGCCCUAGAUGUAGGUUCGAUUCCUACCGGGGGCG